Molecule: ribosomal RNA, 419 nt
Filed under: uncultured bacterium
Lineage: Bacteria
Description: bacterial SSU rRNA
Rfam family: Bacterial small subunit ribosomal RNA
Source: RNAcentral
UGGGGAAUAUUGGGCAAUGGGCGCAAGCCUGACCCAGCAACGCCGCGUGAAGGAAGAAGGCUUUCGGGUUGUAAACUUCUUUUGUCGGGGACGAAACAAAUGACGGUACCUGACGAAUAAGCCACGGCUAACUACGUGCCAGCAGCCGCGGUAAUACGUAGGUGGCAAGCGUUAUCCGGAUUUACUGGGUGUAAAGGGCGUGUAGGCGGGAUUGCAAGUCAGAUGUGAAAAACUGGGGGCUCAACCUCCAGCCUGCAUUUGAAACUGUAGUUCUUGAGUGCUGGAGAGGCAAUCGGAAUUCCGUGUGUAGCGGUGAAAUGCGUAGAUAUACGGAGGAACACCAGUGGCGAAGGCGGAUUGCUGGACAGUAACUGACGCUGAGGCGCGAAAGCGUGGGGAGCAAACAGGAUUAGAUACCC